Molecule: ribosomal RNA, 582 nt
Filed under: Papiliotrema flavescens
Lineage: Eukaryota; Fungi; Basidiomycota; Tremellomycetes; Tremellales; Rhynchogastremaceae
Description: LSU rRNA
Rfam family: Eukaryotic large subunit ribosomal RNA
Source: RNAcentral
AAACUAACAAGGAUUCCCCUAGUAACGGCGAGUGAACCGGGAAGAGCUCAAAUUUGAAAUCUGGCGUGCUCAGUGCGUCCGAGUUGUAAUCUAUAGAGUCGUUUUCCGUGCCGGACUGUGUCCAAGUCCCUUGGAACAGGGUAUCAAAGAGGGUGAUAAUCCCGUACUUGACACAAUGACCGGUGCUCUGUGAUACGUCUUCUACGAGUCGAGUUGUUUGGGAAUGCAGCUCAAAAUGGGUGGUGAGUUCCAUCUAAAGCUAAAUAUUGGCGAGAGACCGAUAGCGAACAAGUACCGUGAGGGAAAGAUGAAAAGCAACUUUGGAAAGAGAGUUAAACAGUACGUGAAAUUGUUAAAAGGGAAACGAUUGAAGUCAGUCGUGACUGAGAGGCUCAGCCGGUUCUGCGCGGUGUAUUCCCCUCAGUCGGGUCAACAUCAGUUUUGUUCGGUGGAUAAGGGCAGUUGGAAGGUGGCACCCUCGGGUGUGUUAUAGCCAGCUGUCGCAUACAUCGGAUGAAACUGAGGAAUGCAGCUCGCCAAUAUGGCCGGGGUUCGCCCCACGACGAGCUUAGGUAUGUUUCA